This 157-nucleotide unclassified non-coding RNA is filed under the name uncultured Helotiales. Its description in RNAcentral is "sequence contains ITS1". Lineage: Eukaryota; Fungi; Ascomycota; Leotiomycetes; Helotiales. The record is from RNAcentral.
CAGAGUUCAUGCCCUAACGGGUAGAUCUCCCACCCUUGAGUAUUAUACUUUUGUUGCUUUGGCAGGCCGCUUCGACUACCGGCUUCGGCUGGUAAGUGCCUGCCAGAGGACCCAAAACUCUGAAUUAUAAUGUUGUCUGAGUACUACAAAAUAGUUA